CCUACGGGUGGCAGCAGUGAGGAAUCUUGGUCAAUGGCCGGAAGUCUGAACCAGCCAAGCCGCGUGAAGGACGAAGGUGCCAAGCAUUGUAAACUUCUUUUGUCAUGGGACAAAAUCAGGCUCGAGAGCCUGACCGAGGGUACUUGAAGAAAAAGCAUCGGCUAACUCCGUGCCAGCAGCCGCGGUAAUACGGAGGAUGCGAGCUUUAUCCGGAUGUAUUGGGUUAAAAGGGUGCGUAGGCGGGCUGUUACGUCAGCGGUAAAAGCCCGGGGCUCAACCCCGGCGAGCCGUUGAAACUGGCGGUCUUGAGAUGGCGAGAGGUAUGCGGAAUGCGCAGUGUAGCGGUGAAAUGCUUAGAUAUUGCGCAGAACUCCGAUUGCGAAGGCAGCAUACCGGCGGCGAUCUGACGCUGAGGCACGAAAGCGUGGGUAUCGAACAGGAUUAGAUACCCCAGUAGUC
Molecule: ribosomal RNA, 459 nt
Filed under: uncultured bacterium
Lineage: Bacteria
Description: partial 16S ribosomal RNA
Rfam family: Bacterial small subunit ribosomal RNA
Source: RNAcentral